UUUCCGUAGGUGAACCUGCGGAAGGAUCAUUAAAGAGUAAGGGUCUUCGGGCCCGAUCUCCAACCCUUUGUUUAACUACCAUGUUGCUUUGGCGGGCCCGUCUCACGACCACCGGAAGUUUGGCUUCGACCAAACUUCUGGCCCGUGCCCGUCAGUGGCCCCUUCAAAUUCUUGAUCAAGUAUGAUGUCUUAGUUAAAAACUUAAUAGUUAAAACUUUCAACAACGGAUCUCUUGGUUCUG
RNAcentral lists this unclassified non-coding RNA (241 nucleotides) under plant metagenome. RNAcentral's name for it is "partial contains small subunit ribosomal RNA, internal transcribed spacer 1, and 5.8S ribosomal RNA". The record is from RNAcentral.